UUGGUGGACGGGUGAGUAACGCGUGGAAAACCUGCCGUAUACUGGGGGAUAACACUUAGAAAUAGGUGCUAAUACCGCAUAAGCGCACAGCUUCGCAUGAAGCGGUGUGAAAAACUCUGGUGGUAUACGAUGGUUCCGCGUCUGAUUAGCUAGUUGGUGGGGUAAUGGCCUACCAAGGCAACGAUCAGUAGCCGGCCUGAGAGGGUGAACGGCCACAUUGGGACUGAGACACGGCCCAAACUCCUACGGGAGGCAGCAG
Molecule: ribosomal RNA, 259 nt
Filed under: uncultured bacterium
Lineage: Bacteria
Description: partial 16S ribosomal RNA
Rfam family: Bacterial small subunit ribosomal RNA
Source: RNAcentral